CAAGAGUAUUUCAGUUUGGCUUUAUGCCCUCUGAAAAUCUCCACCCUUUGUUUACAUUACCUUUGUUGUUGCCUCGGAUGGGUGCUUUAUAGCACCUGCCGGCAGACACCUUCAAAAACCCUUGAUUUAAUACUAUAGUCAGAGCUGUAACAAGCAAAAGAUUAAUAAAUCA
This 172-nucleotide unclassified non-coding RNA is filed under the name soil metagenome. Its description in RNAcentral is "partial internal transcribed spacer 1". The record is from RNAcentral.